UACGUAGGGUGCGAGCGUUAAUCGGAAUUACUGGGCGUAAAGCGUGCGCAGGCGGUCUGUUAAGACCGAUGUGAAAUCCCCGGGCUUAACCUGGGAACUGCAUUGGUGACUGGCAGGCUUUGAGUGUGGCAGAGGGAGGUAGAAUUCCACGUGUAGCAGUGAAAUGCGUAGAGAUGUGGAGGAAUACCAAUGGCGAAGGCAGCCCCCUGGGUUAACACUGACGCUCAUGCACGAAAGCGUGGGGAGCAAACAGG
RNAcentral lists this ribosomal RNA (254 nucleotides) under uncultured bacterium. RNAcentral's name for it is "partial 16S ribosomal RNA". It matches the Rfam family "Bacterial small subunit ribosomal RNA", at positions 524 to 776 of the family's 1533-position model. The record is from RNAcentral.